This is a non-coding RNA of Pelobates cultripes (western spadefoot toad), 217 nucleotides long. The record is from the annotation of a GenBank genome assembly. NCBI's taxonomy places the organism in Eukaryota, Metazoa, Chordata, Amphibia, Anura, Pelobatidae.
AUAUAAAUGCCCUUAGAUUUUCUUACGUGGGUUGAUAGACAUACAGACAGGAUUUCAUAUACACUAUAUACAGCUAUAUUCUGGGGAGUGCUCAUCGCUAGUACUGGCAUCUCAUUGAAAUUCACAAGAGACAUUAUAAAGGACUACUUUUUUAGUCACUGAGAGAGCAAGAGAUAGAUAGAUAGAUAGAUAGAUAGAUAGAUAGACAGACAGAUAG